Molecule: unclassified non-coding RNA, 419 nt
Filed under: Agrilus planipennis (emerald ash borer)
Lineage: Eukaryota; Metazoa; Arthropoda; Insecta; Coleoptera; Buprestidae
Description: uncharacterized LOC112905301, transcript variant X2
Source: RNAcentral
UCUAUGGGCGUAUACCAUUUUUGUUAGCCGUGUGCAAUUGUGAAUUUUGUGUUAAAUAUAUCAAAAGGGAUAAUUGAGGGAAAUUAUUCUGUAUUAAGUAGCCGUUCGUUUCAGUCAGGCCGUAGCUAUGACGCGUGGCCGGGGUUUUAGUAUGUCAUAUCGAGGUGGUUCAGGUCGUUCUCCAUGGGGUGGAUCAGACAGAAGCCGCUCAGGUUAUGGAUCUUCAAGAGGCGGCCCUGGGGGCGGAAGUGGGGGUCGAUUUUCUAACUCAUUCUCAAGCUCUUUUGAUUUUAGACCCUCUGAACGUUAUUCAGGUUCAAGACAUGAAGAUUAUCACAAAUCUUAUCGCAUGGAACCCAAUCAGAGUUAUUCCAGUCGUGAUCAUCGUUCGCCAGAGCGAAAAAGAAUGAGACCUGAGG